RNAcentral lists this ribosomal RNA (253 nucleotides) under uncultured bacterium. RNAcentral describes it as "partial 16S ribosomal RNA". It matches the Rfam family "Bacterial small subunit ribosomal RNA", at positions 524 to 776 of the family's 1533-position model. The record is from RNAcentral.
UACGUAGGGGGCGAGCGUUGUCCGGAUUUAUUGGGCGUAAAGGGUGCGUAGGCGGCGCGGUAAGUCGGGUGUGAAAUCUCGGAGCUUAACUCCGAAACUGCAUUCGAUACUGCCGUGCUUGAGGACUGGAGAGGAGACUGGAAUUUACGGUGUAGCAGUGAAAUGCGUAGAGAUCGUAAGGAAGACCAGUGGCGAAGGCGGGUCUCUGGACAGUUCCUGACACUGAGGCACGAAGGCCAGGGGAGCAAACGGG